This 446-nucleotide ribosomal RNA is filed under the name uncultured bacterium. RNAcentral describes it as "partial 16S ribosomal RNA". It matches the Rfam family "Bacterial small subunit ribosomal RNA", at positions 338 to 795 of the family's 1533-position model. The record is from RNAcentral.
CCUACGGGAGGCAGCAGUAGGGAAUUUUCGGCAAUGGGCGGAACCCUGACCGAGCAACGUCGCGUGAACGAAGACGUUAUUCGUAAUGUAAAGCUCUUUUAAUAGGGAAGAAAGAGAAAUCUGAUGGUACCUGAAGAAUAAGCUCCGGCAAACUACGUCCCAGCAGACGCGGUAAUACGUAGGGAGCGUGCGUUAUCCGAAAUUAUUGGCCGUAAAGGGUGCGUAGAUGGAAUAGUAAGUCUUUUGUAAAAAUGCUGGGCUAAACCCAGUAGGGCAAAAGAUACUGGAAAGCUAGAGUAUGACAGAGGCAAGUGGAACUACAGGUGUAGCGGUAAAAUGCGUAAAUAUAUGGAAGAACACCAGUGGCGAAGGCAGCUUGCUGGGUCGAUACUGACAUUGAGGCACGAAAGCGUGGGGAGCAAACAGGAUUAGAUACCCGUGUAGUC